Molecule: ribosomal RNA, 397 nt
Filed under: uncultured bacterium
Lineage: Bacteria
Description: partial 16S ribosomal RNA
Rfam family: Bacterial small subunit ribosomal RNA
Source: RNAcentral
CCUACGGGAGGCAGCAGUGAGGAAUAUUGGUCAAUGGGCGAGAGCCUGAACCAGCCAAGUCGCGUGAAGGAUGAAGGUUCUAAGGUUUGUAAACUUCUUUUAUCUGGGAACAAAGUGAGGCACGAGUUCCUGUUUGUAUGUACCAUAUGAAUAAGCAUCGGCUAACUCCGUGCCAGCAGCCGCGGUAAUACGGAGGAUGCGAGCGUUAUCCGGAUUUAUUGGGUUUAAAGGGUGCGUAGGUGGUGCAGUAAGUCAGCGGUGAAAGGUCGGGGCUCAACCCUAAAAGAGCCGUUGAAACUGGCUGACUGGAGUAGUGUAGAGGUAGGCGGAAUGCGCAGUGUAGCGGUGAAAUGCAUAGAUAUCGCGCAGAACUCCGAUUGCGAAGGCAGCUUACUAA